RNAcentral lists this ribosomal RNA (253 nucleotides) under uncultured bacterium. RNAcentral describes it as "partial 16S ribosomal RNA". It matches the Rfam family "Bacterial small subunit ribosomal RNA", at positions 524 to 776 of the family's 1533-position model. The record is from RNAcentral.
UACGGGGGGGGUAAGCGUUGUUCGGAAUUACUGGGCGUAAAGGGCUCGUAGGCGGCCAACUAAGUCAGACGUGAAAUCCCUCAGCUUAACUGGGGAACUGCGUCUGAUACUGGAUGGCUUGGAUUUGGGAGAGGGAUGCGGAAUUCCAGGUGUAGCGGUGAAAUGCGUAGAUAUCUGGAGGAACACCGGUGGCGAAGGCGGCAUCCUGGACCAAUAUUGACGCUGAGGAGCGAAAGCCAGGGGAGCAAACAGG